RNA transcript from Triticum aestivum (bread wheat), 3142 nucleotides. It is a transcript of the gene named wall-associated receptor kinase 5, with no coding region annotated. Lineage: Eukaryota; Viridiplantae; Streptophyta; Magnoliopsida; Poales; Poaceae. The transcript is spliced from 3 exons. The record is from RefSeq and is a predicted model, not a curated record.
UCCAUAAAUUUGCAGCACCAAGCCAGUCACGAAAGUGCUACAUACAAGAGAAGGCCUUCCAGCUGAGACGUUCACCACACUGUUAAGUCCCCAGCCUGAACUGAAUUUCAAGUGAAGUUGGGAGCCGCACAAGGUGUGUGUCAUGGGCAUCUUACUGAUGAUAUAUGCAUCACUUUCUCUUUUGCUACUUGGGUCACUAGGAAACCUAACAGCGUUAGCAUCUGGAGUUGUAACAAGCCACAACCCCGAAGGGAAUUGGGCGCAUCCAUCACUUGCCAUGCUUGAUGGUUGCCUGAAGACAUGCGGCGAUCUGAGCUUCGACUACCCCUUUGGCAUUGGAUCCAGGUGCUCCCGGGGGCCUGAUUUCAAUCUCACUUGCGACGACACAGCUCAGUCCCCCAGACUUUUCUUGCGUGACGGCAUCACCGAAGUAAUUGACAACAUCGUCGUUGCUAGCGAUGGAGAUUACUACGACAAUGAUUAUGGAAUCAUUACCUCCUUUUGGCAUACUAUCCCCAUGAAGUCUGGUGUCCAUGUCUACUACUUGUCUUUCCAACCGCCUGGUAGAUCCUUCAGCCGUGGGGAAACCAUUCUGAACAUCACUGGUUGCGAUCUGGAUGUGUAUUGGGUCAACAAUAACACACACAGAACAACAUGGGUCUGUGGAACUGUGUGUCCGGACCAAGCAAUCACAGAGACCAUGUCGAGGCUCAACUGCAGUGGCAUCGGAUGUUGCAGUUUUCCUGUCACAGGUCUGCUUCCUGAUGCUUUUCAGCUCAAAUUUGUCCACCACCACAACAAAACUAGCACCGCAACACCCUCUAACCAGACCUCUAUGCUGUGGGACAGAAUCAGCAUAAGUGACGAUGAGACCGCAGUUUGGUGGAACAUAGUUGGUCAACCCAACUGUGCUAGCACCGUGCAAAACAGGUCAACGUAUGCCUGUAUCAGCAGGCAUUCAUUGUGCCGCGAUGAAAGUGUGACAUCAAACAACGGCUACAACUGCAUCUGUAAUGCUGGCUAUGCAGGCAGCCCCUUCCUUCAAGAUGGCUGUUCCAGAGAUGAAGGGUAUAAUCCAAUUCCGAGCAGAGCUAAUUGUACCCGUUGGUGUGGUAACAUUAGUGUGCCAUACCCAUUCGGCUUAGAAGAGGGUUGCUUUGCCAGGGAACAAUUCCAACUUAACUGUGCAAAUAUGGCAUCAUCAACUGUCCUCAUGUUUGAGUUUGACCAGGUAAUGAGCCUGAAUGUUGACGAAGGGACCAUUAAGUCCAUCGGGUCUGACCAACAAGGUGCAUCAUUUUACCACAUAUUUAGCAGGCGUGCUCUUUUUGUUGGAUAUGGCUACUUCUAUUCAAUGCAGUGGGUUGCAGCUAAUCUAAGUUGCAUAGAGGCCCAACAGAAUAUAUCUGGUUAUGCUUGUGUAAGCACCAACAGCAAGUGUGUAGCAGUAGAGGCUAAAAUUGACUAUGGUGAAUUGAGCUAUAUUGGGUACCGCUGUAAAUGCUCAGAUGGCUUCCGAGGAAAUCCAUACACCCAAAGUGGUUGUCAAGGUGUCCCUCCCUCAGCUAAGAGCUCUUAGCAGUUAAAUUUAAUAGCUUUCAUGCUGUGUAUGUUGUCCAAGUGGUUAUUACGUUGUGAAGAAUGUCAUAUGCAUAUGUCAUCUUCUUUACUUUUGAUAAGAAUAAGUAUAUGGCUAAAUGUCAUCUUAUUAAUGCCUCUGGUAGAUCUCAUCAGCAGGCCAUGCCAUAUUAAGUUUUUUUCUCUCUAGUUAAGUCAAAUGCAUUACUCUUGUUACUUUUUUUUAGAAAAGGAUUACUCUUGUUACUUAUAGAGCAUAUUUUGACAUUGCACAAAGACUAAGGUGGUAAUAAAAUUGUAAGGAAAAUAAAAUACACAAUGGAUCCCUAAACUUGAAACAUAAUUUUAAUAAACCUGAAAUUCAUGUCACUUAGGUCAUGCUCACUUUUAAUGCAGCUAAACGCCAACUUGACACUGGAAUAACUGUACUAUAGUCAUGGUUUGUUAUUGUGUGACUGUAAAUUGCUUAAAUUGAUGAGCCACCUAGUUUUUGAAUAACGAAAUGAUCAUUAGUUUCCCUUUAAAGCACAUUAUGCAGAACCAAUAGUUUUGGAAAUACACUGGAAGUCUGUAUUAUAUCAAUAACAUUAACUAUUUAUAUAUCACUAAAGAAACGUGAUGCCACUAUUAGCUAUUACAUUUGUUUUUCUGCACCCGUUAUUCGUUAUUAGUUAUUACAGUUUUUUCACCCUCUACCCCAGUUUAAACGCUUUGGAAGAGGUAAAGUGAUCGUAGUAUAUCAUUUUGACAAGGUAUAUUCUCGUUAAAUCAUUUUUACAUCUGUGCUUUCUUUAUUUGUGAACAUGGUGAGUUGAUGUGGACACAUAGAGAGAAAAAGAGUGAGUACAUCUCAACUUUCCCAAGAGAGUUGUACACAAAUAUUAGGUGUGUGCUAAUUUUAAAAACAUAUGGUGCCUUGAACAUACACCCAAAACUGCUUCUCUAGUUUCUGUCUGAUUAGUACCAUUUCUGUAGGUUUCUUUUAUUGGAUAACAUGCUGUAUUCCAUGUUAACUGGAUGAUCUAUUGCGUUCUAUGUUAUGUAAUAUACUAAUAUGUAUACCCUAUAUUUGUUUAUUGGCGCAACUUAGCAAGAUCUUGUUAAUUUCAGAUAUUGAUGAAUGCCUUCAACCAAACAUUUGUAAGGGGAUCUGCCAUAAUAUUGAAGGAAGCUUCUAUUGUACUGAAUGUCCUCACAAGACUGAGUACGAUCUACACAAAAUGCAGUGUACAACAACGAAACAACAUACUCUGCUUUCAGGUAUUAUCAUUGGGUUAUCUGGUGGCUUCGGCAUUCUAGCUCUGAGUUUUGGUACAGUAUUUCUCAUUCGUGUAUGGAAAAGAAAUAUUCAGCAACAACUACGGAAGAAUUAUUUUCGGAAGAACCAAGGUCUUCUACUAGAAACAUUGAUAUCAUCUGAUGAAAGUGCAAAUGACAAAACAAAGAUUUUCUCGUUAGAAGAGCUAGAAAAGGCAACAGACAACUUUGAUAGGGCCCGCAUUAUUGGCUGUGGGGGCCAUGGCAUGGUUUACAAAGGCAUGUUAUCUGAUCAACGUGUAGUUGC